UGAGGGAAAGUUGCAAAGAACUUUGAAGAGAGAGUUCAAGAGUACGUGAAACUGCUCAGAGGCAAACGGGUGGGCCCUCGAAAUCCUCUUGCGGAGGGAUUCAGUCCGGAGCGGCAGGGGCGAUCGCCGGUAACGGACCCCGAAAAGGACGGGUCCGGCGACGCGGUCUCGGCCGCGCCGGACGCACUUCUCUCCGCACUCUGGACGCCGCAACGGAUCGGGUAGCUGCGAGAGUCGGCCUUGAGGCGGUCCCAGGCAGGUGACCGGGCGUGGGGGCUCCGUGCCCUCCGUCCGGUUAUUCACGGGACCGUUCGUGGCGCGACACCCGAUCGAGGUCUGCGCUUCCCCUGCGGGAAGCCUUCCGUCUCCGUCUCUAUGGUGCGGUGCGGGGGCCAGUGAGCGCCGGCGAUGCCGAACCACUCCUCGUAGUGGCCGGCGCGACGGUUGCCGCCGAUGGGUCCCCGACUACCGCGGGAGGCUGCGGAACGGUUUGCGGCGAGUAGGUCGGUCACCCACCCGACCCGUCUUGAAACACGGACCAAGGAGUCUAACAUGUGCGCGAGUCGCAGGGUCUUGGACAGGCCCUCGGGCGCAAUGAAAGUGAAGGUUCCUCCGGGACCGAGUUGGGAUUCCUUCCCCCGAGGGGGUCGGAAGCACCAACGGCCCGUCCCGUCCGACUCGUCGGUGGGGCGGAGUCCGAGCGCACACGUUGGGACCCGAAAGAUGGUGAACUAUGCUUGGGCAGAACGAAGCCAGAGGAAACUCUGGUGGAGGUUCGCAGCCGUUCUGACGUGCAAAUCGAUGGCUUGACCUGAG
Molecule: ribosomal RNA, 816 nt
Filed under: Litoporus manu
Lineage: Eukaryota; Metazoa; Arthropoda; Arachnida; Araneae; Pholcidae
Description: partial 28S ribosomal RNA
Rfam family: Eukaryotic large subunit ribosomal RNA
Source: RNAcentral